Long non-coding RNA from Bombus terrestris (buff-tailed bumblebee), 1073 nucleotides. RefSeq lists it as uncharacterized. Lineage: Eukaryota; Metazoa; Arthropoda; Insecta; Hymenoptera; Apidae. The transcript has 3 exons. The record is from RefSeq and is a predicted model, not a curated record.
CUAAAUAAAGAGUAAAAUAGAAAAGAAAAUAAUGUAUCUAAAUUUGUUCCAGCACUUUUAGUCUUGUGGAAACUAAUCUACAGACUCCACUGAGGAUACCAAGUUGAAUACAAAGUAUGAAAGAGCAAAUAGUAUAUCAAAAGCUGUCACAGUAAGGUAUCAUGACAUGAAAGCACUUUAGGCUAGGAAAUAAAUUGAAAAGCUUGAUUAAAAGCUUCUAUAACGAAGGUGUAGCCUAGGCUCAGGUUAGGAAGAGCGAUUUCCAUAGCUUUUGCAACGGAUCAACAAUAUACAUAUCUCAGUCGCCCGGUGGCGAGCUGGUUGCCAGGCAGCGAGUUUCGUCCAGAAACCGGAGAAGGGAAAAGCAUUUACUGUUGCGUAAACCAGUCGAAUCUUCUGACGUGUACAUUAAAUAACUGUUAUGAAACAUCGCACUAUGGACAAAGAAAAUUUCUUCCUAGUAGAUUACUUACGCGAGUUUUUAUGGAUCAAAUGCAAAGAUUGAGUUCAUUACAUCCUCAAAUCCUCUUUAAUUUCAGUGCAUUACGAAUUUUUUGCAUUAGGCCCUGACUCCCAAAUACAAAUCUAAUGGCCUAAUAUCCAAUGAUCAGUUAUAGAAUAUGCCAUCUUUAUUUUGAGUAAAAACCUGAGACACCCUAUAUAUGGGAAAUAUAUUGCUGCAGUUGUGUUCAGUGAAUUCUGUGUUACAAAAUAAGCGUUGAUUCCGGUUCGAUCGCUGUUACAAGAUUAAUAAGCGCGCUCGUAAAUUAUCGUCGGGCACGAUACAAGUUGCGCACCACUGAUUUAAUGGAUGACUCUCCCGGCUUGGUGUGGUAAUCACAGUAAAAAAUCUUUCGUUCGAACGAGCUUUGGAUCCUUGGUAAUUUUGUCGUCAACAACACUCCAUGCUCCUCUGCCCUUUAAUUAUGUAUUACCAAGAGAUCUCGAAAAAUCCACGCGAAAAACGUGGCUGUCAUGAAAAACUAUGACGCUGCUUGGUUCAACGACAUUGUAGCUGAAUACGAUGGUUGAAUAGCGUGGAAUAAUUGGACGAGAUUCAUUAUUUGUAUGGA